RNAcentral lists this ribosomal RNA (254 nucleotides) under uncultured bacterium. RNAcentral describes it as "partial 16S ribosomal RNA". It matches the Rfam family "Bacterial small subunit ribosomal RNA", at positions 524 to 776 of the family's 1533-position model. The record is from RNAcentral.
UACGUAGGGUGCAAGCGUUGUCCGGAAUCAUUGGGCGUAAAGAGCGUGUAGGCGGCCCGAUAAGUCCGCUGUGAAAGUCCAGGGCUCAACCCUGGAAUGCCGGUGGAUACUGUCGGGCUAGAGUCCGGAAGGGGCGAGUGGAAUUCCUGGUGUAGCGGUGAAAUGCGCAGAUAUCAGGAGGAACACCGGUGGCGAAGGCGGGUCUCUGGGGCAGUAACUGACGCUGAGGAGCGAAAGCGUGGGGAGCGAACAGG